UCGGCCUCGCUGCGCUCUUCAGCGACCCCACACGUGCCUCUGACAGCCUGGACUCCUGAACACAGUGCAGGUGAUUCUGUCUCAUUUUCCUCUUCAUUGGGUCUAAUCUGGUCCAUAAAAUGCUGGAUCUCUAGUGCCUAGAAUCCAGAGCAGGCGCUCUGGAAAGAUGAUGAAAUAAAUUGAUGUAACCCUUGAUUGCAAGAAUAACUGGGAGAAAACGGAAUGAAUCGUGCCUGCAACGUCUCUUCAAUGGCUGACACCUUUCACCCAUGUGGAGUCUGGCCUACUUCAGGAGAUUCACAAUGGACAGGACGUGUUCUGCUUUCAAAGGACACUACCUGGCCCUGACGUUCAAAGCCCGUGUUCUCCAGAUCCUGCAUCUGGCUUUUGUCUCAGUCCACCAAAGUGAGGACCUCCACUGUGCAUUCUUGUGAAGAAGAGCCAGGCAAAUUCUAGGAGAGACCAGGAGAAGUAAUUAGAUCUGCAGAGGAG
This 492-nucleotide long non-coding RNA is filed under the name Piliocolobus tephrosceles (Ugandan red Colobus). RNAcentral's name for it is "lncRNA (ENSPTEG00000025743.1)". The record is from RNAcentral. Lineage: Eukaryota; Metazoa; Chordata; Mammalia; Primates; Cercopithecidae.